UAGGGAAACUGCCGGUGAUAAGCCGGAGGAAGGUGUGGAUGACGUCAAGUCCUCAUGGCCCUUACGGGUUGGGCUACACACGUGCUACAAUGGUAGUGACAAUGGGUUAAUCCCAAAAAGCUAUCUCAGUUCGGAUUGGGGUCUGCAACUCGACCCCAUGAAGUCGGAAUCGCUAGUAAUCGCGUAACAGCAUGACGCGGUGAAUACGUUCCCGGGCCUUGUACACACCGCCCGUCACACCAUGGGAAUUGGGUCUACCCGAAGGUGGUGCGCCAACCAGCAAUGGAGGCAGCCAACCACGGUAGGUUCAGUGACUGGGGUGAAGUCGUAACAAGGUAACC
Molecule: ribosomal RNA, 341 nt
Filed under: uncultured bacterium
Lineage: Bacteria
Description: bacterial SSU rRNA
Rfam family: Bacterial small subunit ribosomal RNA
Source: RNAcentral